Molecule: non-coding RNA, 3009 nt
Organism: Python bivittatus (Burmese python)
Lineage: Eukaryota; Metazoa; Chordata; Lepidosauria; Squamata; Pythonidae
Source: RefSeq, a predicted model, not a curated record
AAAAAGCUGCUGUAAUUUAGCCAGCAGGCACGCCAACUUCUGAGUUACGAAGAAAUCGCUGAGAGAACGCUGCGGUCAGCCCAGUUCUAAAUUCAUGCAUUGAUUCUCUCUAGUUUACCUGUAAUGCCUGAGGCUCUUGUACCAUCUUCUGUCACUUCAAUCUUCGCUUUGUGGAUGACUUCUGAGAUAUAAAGACCUCCGUGCUCUAGCAAACAAAAGCAUUUCUCUUUUACCAAUGCAAAGCCAAACCAACUUUACUUCCUUUUUCAAAGAAGAAACUGCUCGGGAGAGAUUUCCUGUCACAUAGAUGCUGGAAGAUAACUAUCAGAGUGCUUGGUAAAAAUGUACUGAGACAGCUGGGUAUUGCUGUUUGACAAAAUGAAAUAAAGGCCUGUGGAAAAGAGAGUUUCUUCCAGAAAUUAUAAAACUGAGUUGAUGUCAGAUAUAAAUUUAGGACAUAUCCCCAAUGAAAUGGAGCCCAUCUGUUAAUGAAUCCAUGAGUUACAAUGAGGACUGAGUCAACAUUUUCACCUCUAUCUCUUCCAUCAUCAGAUAUGACUAAGAAGUCCUGUAUCCUUUUACAAAACUACCCUUACAAAAAAGAUCCAAGAAAUGGUACAUGAUGGAAUAUGGAGUCCUCAGUUCAACAUAGUGCAUAUAGCUCCAAAGAUCUUCCAAAAGUUUCCACUGAACUGCAACUUGUAAUAUCACAGAAGAGAGAAAACUAUACAUGUAGGGGAUUAUUGUAUUAGCUUACUUUAUUUUUAAGUUUAGGCACUUUUUCGUUUCUUUAUUCUGAUCCGGUCUACGGUUUAGACUGUGGCUCCUGAGCCCUCAAAGGUUGCAUAUGGCUCUUGGCCUGAAAAAGUUAUACAGGCAUAUUAAAGUAACAAGCUUACCUGAAAUGCCAUUGAAAUUAGCUUCAGUUUGGUCAAACAUGUCUGUAAUUCCUAAUGCAAGUAAAAUCAUCUUUAAGUCCAAGUGAUUUUGAAUUUUGAACCUGAAAAGAUGGUAGAUGGACACUGUAAACCUGCUAUGUUAGUUUUUCACAUUAACUCUAUAGGGGAAGGUGAUAUAUGGCUCUCUAGAGCUUAGUGAACUUCACCUGCCAAGAGCCUACUUAGCAUGGCUAAGAAUGAGAUAUGAUGGGAAUUGCAAUUCAGGAACAUCUCAAGAGCAUAUGAUCCAUCCCUACAUAUUAUAUAUUUACAAGAAUAAGUCAUAGGUGUGUUCUCUUUCUAGGGCUUAAAGCAUGCAUUUGUUUUUAUAACCAUUUCUGUAUAGUUUCUCCAAGGUCAUCUCCGUGGCUUUCUACACUUGAGAGUUUAGGUAACACAGGUUCAGUUGCUAUGGCUGUAUCCACUCCUCUCUCCAACCAUAUUUCUAAUCUCAUAUUCAUAGUCAUGGCAUUUUGUCUACAAUCAUGUUUGUAAUUUUUACGCGGACACAGCAAACAUGAGCAGAGAUCCAAAUACUGAAGCAACUGAAUGCACAUUGAUUCUUUACCUAGGGAGAAAGAUAUCCAUCCCUGUUCUUCUUAAGGUGCUGGACCAUAGAGAGAAGGUUUGAGCUGAGAAGUAAGUCUCAAUCCUGGCUAGAGAGGUUCUCCUGUCGGUUGGAAGCACCACAAACAUGCUCACCAUCUCCUCCAGAUAAGAGCCUGCAGAAUGGAGUGGUAUAGAAAUUUCAGUAAAUAAAAAUAAAUAAUACUGGUAGCAUUUUUCUGAUAUUGAAAGAGGGGUUUCUGCAUGAUCUAGGAAUCCUCAUUACAGUCCUAUAUAUUUAGUAGUAGCAUUUCCCCUAUUGCGGAUAUGAAAACUGAACUGAAAGAGAGUGAUGUAUCAAAGGCUGCCAACUGAAUUCACAGUAGAAGUAAGGUUAGAGUCAAGAACUUUCUGCUUUACAGCACAAUCUCUUAGACACUAUAUUACAUUAAUUUAGGUCUUGUAGUACAAAUCAUAAAUGUUGCAGAUAAACAUCUCUGAAUUUAAUAAGUAAAAUACAUCAGGCCACCCUUUAAAUGCUAAUCUGGGCUAAGCAGGAUUUUAGAUAGGUUUCCACCUCUACAGAAGGUUUAGGGUUAGGAUGACAAUCAGAACACACAUCAGAACACACUUAUAAUUCCAACAUAUAACUCUGUGUUCCACGUUGUUCGAAGCCUGCAGAAAGCAUUGUCUUGGAAGCUAUAUUUGGUGCUCCUUGUAUCAGUGCUUAGACAAUCUGUAAAAAUAUAUCAGUUUCACCAGUGUUCUAAUAGUUAACUGGUUUUAUCAUCCAUUUAAUAUUUUUGUGUUGUAUUUUAAAAUGUAAUUAGCCACCCUGAGUGCUUAUUUGAGCAGAAUGGUGAGAAUCAAUUAGCGUUUAACUGAAAAGUUGUUAAAUGGCAAUUGGCAAGAGAAGACUGGAGGCUACACAAAAAACUUUGAUGGGCAGGGCUGUGGGUUGUGUACUAAUGAAAAGGAAAAACACUCUGCUACUCUCCACUUUUUCUUACUUAACAGUUUAGGACUGUUUGGCUGGCUGAGCUUGACAUGCUCUAGUUGCUUUAUUGGUGAAGAGUAGGCUCCCUUCACAAGUGCAGAGAACUCUAGCGUAGAAGUAAUUUCUUUCUUUCACUACUGCCUAUUCCCUGAGAUUCCUUGUUUAUUUGUCUUUAAGUUUGUCUGAUUUAUAACAUGCCUUUCUUUCAGGAGUCUGAGGCAGUGAACACAAUGCUCCCUCUCCUGUUAUUCCCCACAACACCCACCCUAUAACAUCAGUUGGGCUGAGAGACAGUGAGUGGCCCAAAGUCACCAGAGAACCUGGGUCUUCCUGGUGCCUUAAUAUCAUGCUGACUCUCUUUCUUCCAGCUUCUCUCUGUCACGUGCAUGGAUGGAUGGAAAUUUCUCUGUAUAGAAGAAGGGCAUUUUUCAUAGUCGGGGAGUUCUGCCAUUCCUGAUCUCCUUACCAUAAUUGACUUCAGCUCUGAGAUACAUGGCAGGCACUUUUAAGCUGAUGCCUUCUGCAGUG